GAUGAACGCUGGCGGCGUGCUUAACACAUGCAAGUCGAACGUGAAGGGCGCAGUAAUGUGCCUGGAAAGUGGCAAACGGGUGAGUAACACGUAGAUACCUGCCUCGCAGUGGGGGAUAACCACGGGAAACUGUGGCUAAUACCGCAUGGUCUUGAUGAAGCGGGAGCUUGAACAAGUAAAGCUUAAUGUGCUGCGAGAGGGGUCUGCGCCCGAUUAGCUAGUUGGUGAGGUAAAGGCUCACCAAGGCUGGGAUCGGUAGCUGGUCUGAGAGGACGAUCAGCCACACGGGAACUGAGACACGGUCCCGACUCCUACGGGGGGCAGCAGUGAGGAAUAUUGGGCAAUGGACGCAAGUCUGACCCAGCAACGCCGCGUGGAGGACGAAGGCUUUUCGGGUUGUAAACUCCUUUUAUGGGGAAAGCGAAGGAUGGUACCCCAGGAAUAAGUCACGGCUAACUACGUGCCA
RNAcentral lists this ribosomal RNA (466 nucleotides) under uncultured bacterium. RNAcentral's name for it is "bacterial SSU rRNA". It matches the Rfam family "Bacterial small subunit ribosomal RNA", at positions 28 to 510 of the family's 1533-position model. The record is from RNAcentral.